This 467-nucleotide ribosomal RNA is filed under the name uncultured bacterium. RNAcentral's name for it is "partial 16S ribosomal RNA". It matches the Rfam family "Bacterial small subunit ribosomal RNA", at positions 28 to 507 of the family's 1533-position model. The record is from RNAcentral.
GACGAACGCUGGCGGCGUGCUUAACACAUGCAAGUCGAACGGAAAGGCCUCUUUCGGGGGGUACUCGCGUGGCGAACGGGUGAGUAACACGUGAGUAACCUGCCCUUGACUUUGGGAUAACUUCAGGAAACUGGGGCUAAUACCGGAUAGGAGCUCCUGCUGCAUGGUGGGGGUUGGAACGUUUCGGCGGUUGGGGAUGGACUCGCGGCUUAUCAGCUUGUUGGUGGGGUAGGGGCUUACCAAGGCGUUGACGGGUAGCCGGCCUGAGAGGGUGACCGGCCACAUUGGGACUGAGAUACGGCCCAGACUCCUACGGGAGGCAGCAGUGGGGAAGAUUGCACAAUGGGUGGAAGCCUGAUGCAGCAACGCCGUGUGCGGGAUGACGGCCUUCGGGUUGUAAACCGCUUUCGCUCAUGACGAAGCUUUGUGUGACGGUAGUGGGUAAAGAAGCACCGGCUAACUACGUG